AGUUGAACGCGUAGGGUACAGAGGUAAGAUGUUCUAUCUUUCAGACCUUUUAUUUCACGUAAUUGAAUGUGGCUGAAUAGCAGCCCCGUAGAGUUUGACCUCUUCGGGGCGUUUUUUU
Molecule: non-coding RNA, 118 nt
Filed under: Aeromonas sp. RU39B
Lineage: Bacteria; Pseudomonadati; Pseudomonadota; Gammaproteobacteria; Aeromonadales; Aeromonadaceae
Source: RNAcentral